AAACUGCGAUAAGUAGUGUGAAUUGCAUUUAGUGAAUCAUCGAAUCUUUGAACGCACCCUGCACUCACUGGUAUUCCGGUGAGUACGCCUGUUUCAGUAUCAUUGAAAACACACAAUCAAAACAUUUUCUUUGGUUUGAUUGGCUUUGGGUCUAUCAAAAAGUUUGGCUUGUUUCUUACAAGCCAAGCGGCCUGAAAUAUAUUGUCUGGCUAAUUGCAUCGUUGAUGAUCGCUAUUAGACUUUGGCUUUUUUAAAUGAACUGGAGGUUGAUUAACCAGUUUUAGCUUUAGUCAAAUGGUCAUUGUAAAAAAAAUCUCGAUCUUGGCUAGGUGUUUAUAGCCGAAAAUUUUUUUUUGGCUAUAACCGAAACCAAUAUAAUCACAUUUAGUUAUCGAUCCGAAAUCAGGUGGGACUACCCGCUGAACUUAAGC
Molecule: unclassified non-coding RNA, 431 nt
Filed under: plant metagenome
Description: partial contains 5.8S ribosomal RNA, internal transcribed spacer 2, and large subunit ribosomal RNA
Rfam family: 5.8S ribosomal RNA (bases 1-102)
Source: RNAcentral